Molecule: microRNA precursor, 147 nt
Filed under: Pelobates cultripes (western spadefoot toad)
Lineage: Eukaryota; Metazoa; Chordata; Amphibia; Anura; Pelobatidae
Source: RNAcentral
UCUAAUUUACCUAACUCUCUAAUAAAAUCCCCCCCUCUCCAAUUUCUAUUCAUAAUCAGAAACCAGAAGGUUUGAUUUUUAUGGGAAUUAAAAAGUUGAAUAGAAAUUGGAGAGGGGGGGAUUUUAUUAGAGAGUUAGGUAAAUUAG